UUUUUUGUGUUUUUUUUUUAUCUGUCAUGCAGUAGUAGUAAAUAUAUAUAGUAUUUGCGGAUGCGAUUCGCAGGCAUUUAAUAAGUAGUUUUAAGUUUUGGUUGUUUGAUACAGCGAACUAACGAUAACCGUCUUUUCACCUUCAAUUAUUGUACAAUAGAGGCUAGCUAGCUUCCAGUGUUUCAAAUCGGUUAUUAUGAAGGAACUUUGUCAAGAAUUUGACAGCGGUUUCACAUUUGGUGUAUGAUCUCAUACCCUGAAUCAAGGAUCAUAAGUAGUUUUGUUGUACGUCCCCGAAAUUAAAGUAAUGAAGUAUUGAAUUUAUAAAAGCUUAGCUAUGGCGACGCCGUCCACUGAAUUUGCCCGAUUUCCUUUCGAAAACGUGAGAAAUUUACUUGGUGUAUUUCCACAGGGCCACGAAAAGGCUUUGAAACAUGCCUUCUACAAUGCUUUAGCAUUGGUGUUGUUAGUAGGAUGUGGUGGUGUUGCGUGGGCAUCUCUCGUCAUUUUGGAACCUUUUGUCAAACCACUCAUUUGGGCUCUACUGUGCGGUUCAGUUCUUCAUCCUCUGAAACGAUCUUUGGCAACAAACCUUUUCACAUGGCUAGAAAAUUUAGAGGCAUCCUCGGCACCUGUGCUGUUUGUGAUAUUGAUGACCCCAGUUAAAUUUGUAGAUCGCUUGUCUGAACGGAUCGGGAACUCGCUGAGUGCACACUUGAAGGUCAUUCUGUUGGUGGUGUGCACUGUGUGUUUAUUCCAGCUGUUGUAUUACUACACCCCUCAUUUCUGUGUAUGCUUUAUGGUGCAGCUAGGAAAGUACACAAGCAUUUUAAUAUUGUGGAUUAUACAACGAUUUAAUACACUUGUGGUGGUGUCUGUCGUGGCUGCGUACCUAGUCGCAGUAACAUUUUUCUGGAAACCAGAUUUGAGACAUGUGUUCUCCGUAGCUGCGCACAUAAUAUGGGUUUGCGUGUGCUGCUUCUUGGCCAAUCAGACCAGCGUGCUGCAGCUCCCUGCUUUCUUCUUCCUGCUGUUGCUCCUAUUGGCUGGGCUGCUCUACGAGGUGUGGCUUGUCCACAAGAGUGCUCUCGAGAAAGGCAGCGGCAUCAGCCUGGGAGAAGCAAUGCAGCGUGUGAUAGAGGGACCCGUCCCUCUCAAAGAGCCGGUCGCAAGUCAGGAGGUGCAGGGGCCGGCGGAAAGGAAGGAGCGGGAGGAACAACUCCUCCGGCCGACGGAUCUGCCCCUGGCGGGCGCGGUCGCCGACACAGACACGGACGCCCCUGUGGAGAGCCAGAGCGACGUGUACCUGUACGGCGUGGCGUGGGCCUGCGCGGCCAUGGUGGUGUGGAAGAACUCCUGGCUCUUGCAGCUCGUGCCGGUCUUACUCUUCAUAUACGUGGUCAAGAGGAUCGGUCACUCGACCGGCUUGUGGCAGUCCAUCUCAGGCCACGUGCAAGAUGCAGUCGCUGUGAUUGGUGGCUGGUGUGAAGAGAGACGCCUUGGGCUGCUGCCUCCUUCCGUCAGCGGCAUCGUCAAGAUUGGAGCGGAGAUGAAUGCCUCUCUGCUAGGCACGUUCAAGGAGUACGUGGACUCUACUGCUGCAGUUGUAGUCAUAUUCGGCCUCAUCAUUUUCACUACAACAACAACUAUAUUCAUUGCUGUGCAGGUGUACGCGGAGGGACUGCACAUGGUGCAGGUGAGUGCCAGCAUCGUCAACUCCACGCUGGUGCACAACGAGGAGCUGAUGAAGCUGCUGCCCCAGGGCUGGGAGGACACUCUGGACACCAUGCUCGACAACGCCUACUUGUACGGCCGCGACGGCAUCUCGCGCGUCGUGCGCAGCUGGCUGGAGGAGGUGGAGGAGGAGAAAGCCGUGCAAAUCGAGAAGCAGUUGCUGGAGCUGUGGGACCGCGUGUACCAGGCGUGGAUGAUGUCCGGGGCCGAGCCCUCGGCGGUGGGGCCGUCCGUCUCCAGCAGCGCUGUGUUUGCCAGCUGGGAGAACAUGCAGGACCUCGUCCAGAAGACGCCAGAGCUGUUCAACGUGAACGCGCUUAUAGCGUUCGCCAAGGAGAACUUGCAGACGGUGGUGUCGGUGCUGGAGUCUGUGUGGGCCAUCUGCAAGGGCAACCUCAGCCUCGCCCUCUACUCCUUCACAGCGCUCGUCUCCGUCAUUUUCGGGAGUGGCUUCGCUGUGCUUAACUUCCUCCUCAACGUGGUAGUGUUCCUGACUGCGUUGUUCUACCUGUUGAGCUCGAGUGGGGAGAUCUACAAGCCAGUCGACCUGCUCACCAACUUCAACUGCAACAGGCUGGCCGUGGCUCUGGAAGAGGCCAUCAAUGACGUGUUCAAGGCGUCCUUCAAGCUUGGCUUGUUUUACGGUCUGUGGACGUGGUUUGUCCACAACCUCUUCCAGGUUCAAGUAGUGUAUCUACCUGCAGUUCUUGCUGCAGUAUUUGGGGCAGUUCCGUUUGUUGGCACGUACUGGGCGGGCAUUCCGGCAGCCAUCGACCUUUGGCUCAUCAAGGACAGCGGACUGAGCGCCCUCCUCCUCAUGGCAUGCCACUUUCUGCCGACGUCCAUCGUCAACACUGCCUUCUACAUGGAGAUUAAGGGAGGAGGCCACCCGUACUUGACGGGCCUGGCCAUUGCAGGUGGCAUAUUCUGCCUUGGGUUCGAGGGAGCUUUGGUGGGACCCAUGGUGCUGUGCGUCUUGUUUGUGGCCAUCAACAUGUCCACUUCUAUCUUGAAGGAGUCUCCCGUGGCGGGUCAAGUUUCUUUCUGAGUCUUUACCUGCCGGUAAGUUGUGUGCGUAAUUCAUGCAUUUGCUGUGUGAAGUACCUAAUGUUUGUAUCACCAGACAGUGGCGUAGCAAUGUCAGGUACUACCUGGUGAAGAAAAUUUGUCUCAUGUAUAUUUCCAAAUGUUAUUUUCUAAUUUACUUAACCUUGGAAUUGUACACAUAAGUGCUGAAAGCAGAAUAAGUUUAAUUCAAAUUAAAUGGUCUUGAGUUUUGUUACCAUUUUGGAACUUACCUAUUAGACAUAUCACCACAGUUAAGAUCUGUGUGCUGGAACUUAACUGACUUGAUUUAACAAAAUGCACAUUUAAACUGUCACCUUAAUGCAAAGUUAUUUUGUUUUAAAUUUAAAACUUUGCAUUUCAGUAAUACAGGUUCACGAGCAUUUUUCCAAAAUACAUAGGAUCUGUAAUUUUAUGAAUUGUGCAUUUUUAUUUUUCUUCUUCUUAUUUUACUUCUGGAUUAGAAUCACAUAACAAUUAGGUAUUGGUUAUGGUGAAAUUCCAAUAAUCAACCUUUCCAUAUUCAGAGUUAUUAUACAUUCAAGAUAGUUGUGUUGUUUAUAUAGUACUUAUUGUCGGCACUACACAGUUUUCAAUCACACCAAAGGUACAGUAUGUCUUGAUAGAUGGCAUGUUUGUUCAAUAUGACUUAACUGUGCCUCAUUUUACCAUAAUUCCACCACAAGUCACCUGGCAUCUAGGUAGCACAGAACCUACUUUUUUGGUGCAGCAAAAUCUAGUAACAUACAUUAACUUUUUUUUUCUGAGUGAAUAUUUAACUUAGGCAUACCUAUAAAAAAAUACUUAAGGAAAAUGUAAGUACCUAUUUAUCUGUUCAUGAGAGAUUGAGUAAAUUAUAUUUAAAAAUAAAAAAUAAUAUGGCAGUAUAAACACACCAAAGGGAUUUCAGGUAAAGUUUGCAUUAUACUGAGUGAGGGUAUAACCCUCACAUUAACAGAGGUCUGUUUAAAGAGUAUGUACAUACAUGAUUUGUUGUUUAAGCUAUAAGUAUUGUAGGACAGCAGAAUGGUAUCUAGAGUUCAUGAGUAGUAGACAACAAUAAAUCAUGGCAGUUUAUUUUUUAAGUUAAGAUUUUUAAAAGUUGUUCAGCCUGUGUUAUUUUUCCACAGGUCUACUUUUAGUUGAAAUGAUCAUCAGUGUGUCCAAGUGAAAGGAUUGGAAAAAAAAAAAGUUGGGAAUCUCAGCACAAAUAACUCUUUUGUUUGUGUUGUGGCUCUUCCUGCCAUGGGUGAAAGGGAAGGGGGACUGCUCACUGUCAUUGCUGAUUCGAGCUGUGCCAAGUGGACAUCUGGCUUAUCUUGCAAGUCUUACACCGCCAGUUGCUAAUGACAGGCUGACCGCUGUCCCUUUCAGGGCCUGCUACCCACACUGCUGUGCGCUUGCUUUCCUUAUAGCAUUUAUCAGCAUUUAUCACAGCACAUGAACUAGCAUAAAUAAUAUUACUACAUAUUUAACAGUGUUUAAUUCACUCUUUAUUUUUUUUAUUUAUUGCUUUCAUGCUCACUCUAAUGUUUAACUUGUGAUAUUAAUUAUGUAUGUAUUUAGUACUUUGUUACCAGCACAAUGUUUAUACUUGUUUGUGAUACUUUAUUUAUUAUUUAUUUUAUUUUUAAUGCAUAUUAUAAGAUUAUUUUAAUACAUAAAUUAUUUUUACUUCAAGAAUUUUAGUAGUAAGAACUGCAGGUAUAUGCCAAGAAAAUGUAAUCUUCAACAUAAACAAGUUUUUAGAUUUUAUUUGCUAAGUACUUGACUGCCUUGUGAUAAUUGUCAGUUUCUUAUACAUAGUUUUAUAUUUACCUAGUUCAAAAUGUUGUGUUAAGUAAGUUCAUAUUUUUUGCCUAAAACUUAUUUUUAUUUUUUUAAUGCCAAAAGAAGCAUAUUUCCUGUGCCUUGCCUUCUCACAGAGAGAUGUCAACUAAAUGAGUGCCUGCUCAUAGAGACAAAACACAUAAGAUAGUUACAGAGCCAACAUUUGCACAGUAGUGUUGUUGCAAGUCUGUCUUCCUCAUGUUAGCUCUGAACGUACCAUUAUCUCUCUUGUGCAUGAUCGCAGUUUGUUGCUGUAGAUGGCUGAUUCUAGUAUAGAUAUGUUAGUGACUUUGCAAAAGAAUGUUGAUUCAUAUGUAUGUAAUAGAAAAACUAUUAUUAAAUAUGUACUUUGUACAAAGAAAAUUUCAGAAAACUUAAAGUUGAAAAUGAUUGUAUUCAGUUUUGUAUUUAUUUAGUCAAAUAUUUUUUAAAUAUUGCUUUUAGGAAUAUAAUUUGUGAAAAUACAGCCAUGCAAUAAGUGCAAUGAGGUCUUGUGAAGACAAUUUAAGGAAAAAUAUUUAAAUGUUGGCAUUUGCUAUUUUUAGUUGCAGUCACAAAUCUAUAAACUUAUUUUUAGCUUUAACCUCAGGGAAAAUGAAAUUGUCAAAAGUGUAACUAACUAUAAAACUUUUUUUUAGUAACAAUCAUUUGAAACCAUGAACCAUAAAGAUGUGGUUUAAAUCAUUUAAGACAGUCUCUACUGGGCGAACCAGCCACACAGCAUGCACAAAGAUAUUUUCAGGUGUUAUUCAGCCUGCUUACACAAUAUCACUUUCAGACAAAAACCAAAUUGUGUAGUGCAAAGAGAAGUACAUACGUACUAUAGAAGAAAACUUGCAGAAAGUUGUUUUAGAUUUUUUUUAAUGCUAAAAAAAACUUUUAAACAUUAAAGCACUCUUUUAUAGUAAUGUAUUUUUUACUAUAUGCACAACAUUUUUUUUUUUUUAAAGUGAUAUUUCUAAAUGUGGGUGAAUGGUGCAUAAAAGCUUCAUAAUGUAAAGUCCUAUCGCAGUGCAUGGCUUGUUCUCACGAUACAGAAAUUCGUUGAAGUACGUAUUUCCAUAACUUUCAAGUGUGGAUCUUGAACCUGAGAUUACAUGUAGGUGGUGGAGAAGGAAGUUGAUCUUGUGGAGUAAAUCUGGCCACUAAUAAAAAACAACAAGGGAGACUGAAUAAAAUUAUCAAUUGGUAAAUAGCCUGAGAUUGAAAAAUAUUUCUAAAAUACUGUUAUUUAAGGGAAGAGGGUGGUAGCCUUUUUAAGCCUUGCCCUUCUUUUUUUCCUUUUUGGAUUUGUUCCUGAAUAAAAUUGUUAAAGGUGACAGAAAGAAUUCUUUUGGUAAGGCAUUAUCAUUUACAAAUCAUGUAUAAAUAACAUAAUUUUAAAAUAGAUGUCAUGCAGAGAAAUUAUUGCUGUAAUUGGCUGCAAUCUCAUAUGUAGAGCCCUCAAGAAACGGUUGGUAACUCAGUGAACAUCACCAUCACGAUAGUGGUUGCAAGAUGGGCUGUCUGCCACACUACUCCAGUGCUGCUAAAAAUCACUAAACUUUGAAAAUUAUUCAUGUUUCAACUUUCCUUAAGAGAUCUGUAUGAGUACUGUGAUAUUUAUAAUGCCUAGUUUUAUGUUGUAAAAUUAUUGGUGCAACAAAUAUUGAUUGAUUGGUUUGCUCGUUGCUUUGCAUUUACAAAAAGAUAGUAUAUUCAUAGUCAUGUACAUAUAUAGUUUUAAAUUUUACUUGUAUAUAUCUUCUAAAGUACAUACAAGUUUGUAUUGAAUUAUUUAAUAAAUUCUAUUGUAUUAGUUGCA
This is an RNA transcript of Bacillus rossius redtenbacheri, 6433 nucleotides long. It is a transcript of the gene named transmembrane protein 245, with no coding region annotated. The record is from RefSeq and is a predicted model, not a curated record. The transcript has 14 exons. Lineage: Eukaryota; Metazoa; Arthropoda; Insecta; Phasmatodea; Bacillidae.